This 474-nucleotide ribosomal RNA is filed under the name uncultured bacterium. Its description in RNAcentral is "partial 16S ribosomal RNA". It matches the Rfam family "Bacterial small subunit ribosomal RNA", at positions 35 to 539 of the family's 1533-position model. The record is from RNAcentral.
AACGAACGCUGGCGGCAUGCCUAACACAUGCAAGUCGAACGAGACCUUCGGGUCUAGUGGCGCACGGGUGCGUAACGCGUGGGAACCUGCCCUUAGGUUCGGAAUAACUCCCCGAAAGGGGUGCUAAUACCGGAUAAUGUCUUCGGACCAAAGAUUUAUCGCCUUUGGAUGGGCCCGCGUUGGAUUAGCUAGUUGGUAGGGUAAAAGCCUACCAAGGCGACGAUCCAUAGCUGGUCUGAGAGGAUGAUCAGCCACACUGGGACUGAGACACGGCCCAGACCGCGGGGGGGGGGAGUGGUGGAAGAGGUGGGAGAGUGGGCGAAGGCGGAUUCAAGAAAGGCGGGGGUGGUGAUGAAUGCUUGAGGGUUUAAAAGCUCUUUUACAGGGGAUGAAAACGACAGUACCGGGAAAAUACGCCCCGCCAAGCCCAGUGCCAGCAGCCGCGGUAACACGCGGAAGAGCACACUGCUAAAC